UUAGUAAUGCUGGCAUCAUUCUUGAUAUCGCCUGGAGAUAGAAUUAACCUGGCAUCGAAAUCGAAAAUGGUAUCUUUGCUAUUUCUUGCAAUGUAUUUGGUAAUGUUGAUGAAUUCAAUUCCUCAUUUCACCGGAACACAGUCUAAUUUCUUGAUCGGAUUUGUCGUGUUGUUAACAAUAGUGGGAAUAUCCAGCUGCAUCUCAGCACAUAAAUCGAUUAGCAAGAAAAUCACGCUUAUAUCAUCCAUCCUUGAUCAUGGAAGGUACAAAUUUGGAAGAAAACAUGCGUGAAAAUCCAGAAGACAUAACACUAACCGAUGACCAGUACACUUCUCCAGAAUCACUGAUGAAAAAAUCCCAAAAUGAAUGGUUGAAAAUACACGCAAUAAUUGAAUAUUUGUCAUUUGCUGCUUGUUUGAUGGUUGUUGUAACUCUUACCAUCAGUUUAAUGGCAUGAAAGCUGACCUUCGUCCGAAUAUCUUCUUUGCGAGACUCAAUUGUAACCAUGCACCUGGUCUCGUACAAUAUUCAUUAUAAUCCAUUCAAGUACACAAUUACUUGUGAAAAAUUCGAACUCAUAUGAUGCAUGUCUCAUUCAAAAGAUUACCAUUAGUAAAUAUCGAUUGCUAAUCGUAUUUUUUUUCACAAAGCUUCUUUUUCCAGCAGUUUUUAAGCACAAGCAAUCCCAUCCAGCUACCUAUGUACAUUGUACUUACAGUAUCUUCAUUUUUACCAAUUGAAAAAAUACAU
Planococcus citri (citrus mealybug) is the source of this 750-nucleotide long non-coding RNA. RefSeq lists it as uncharacterized. Lineage: Eukaryota; Metazoa; Arthropoda; Insecta; Hemiptera; Pseudococcidae. The record is from RefSeq and is a predicted model, not a curated record. The transcript is spliced from 3 exons.